AGAAGAGGAAGCGUGGCCAAGCGCCCAAAGAAACACUGAGGAGGCUGAGGAGGAGGCGUGCGCAGGCGUGGUUGGGGCGGAGUCGAAGGGGAGGAGCUCACCGGGGGCCGGGAGAGUGAGAUUGGCCCCUCUAAGCAAAGGAAAUGUGUGGAAACUCGAUUUCUCUAAUCCAAAGAGAUAAACUUUGUGUUGGAGAAGAAAUGUGAUCAUUUGAAUUAAUGAACAACACUCUAUAUUCUCUGUGAGGUUUACUUCUUCGGUACUUCUACGAGUAGGUUUUCAGCGACUAGCCCCAGACAGAUCGUUCAGGGCUUUAAUGACCACUAACGGGAAACGGUGCCCAUAGACUGCAGAGUCAGCUCUUCUUCAGGCCUUGCUCAAAGCGGAUUCCCGGUCACAUCUUCCGCGGAAAAAAAGCCGGACUCAGUAGGCUCUAACCAACCGUUGCUACUGGCGAUCAAGACGACGCUUUCACCUUUCACGCCUCCUAGCCCCGACAGUCGCAAGCCCCGCCUCCAGGGACGCCUGGAAAACUCGGACCACGGAGCAGUGAAGCUGGGGACCCGGAGCAACCGCGCGGCCGAGCUGAGCAUGCUCGGAGGGCGGCUCGAUAGCGGGAGGAAGCGGCGCGGGCGGCCGGCGCUGCACGCCGCGUCGUUGUUGUGAUACAGCCCUCGCCACGUGACUGCGCCGGGCCCGCCUCCAGGCGCGCGGUGCCGCCUCCCCGUGACUCAGCACUUUGUGCCUGUUCUGUGCUAGAGGUCACUGCCGGGGAUGCUGCUUGGGGCAAAGUUUCGGCCCUCCACUCCUGACACUCUCCCAUCCCCCACACCCGGCUGCUGCUCCUAAGUGUUGCAGCAGCCAUUUCAGACUCAUUGGUUUUCGGGCCUCUUGAGUACGGAGGAAAAAAAUCUAUUUCCCUGUGGUCAUGCCAGUUCCCAUUUUCCCUGAGUCAGCAGCUCCGAUGAUAGCCUGGAGCUGACCGCCCAAAGAUCAAACGAGGAAAGCAGAGGGACUUGUGCCUAAGGGUCUCUAAGGGAGAAAUUUGCAGGUUCAGGCCGCUUUGCAGUCACCCGCCCCAGCCCUUACUGCUCUGGCUUGAACGUCCUCUAGAUGGUAUCCCAGCGGUCGCAGUAAUUUACUCUUCAUGGUGCACCUGCUUAUGCCGAGCACUUUGAUCUAGAAUCCAUGGAACAAUCCUGGUUGUUGCCAUGUUUUAUAGAUAAGGCAACUGAGAUCCAGUAAUACUAACAGGUAGUGGCUGCUCAGGGAUCUGAACUACAGUGCACUUUCUAUUACAACUCAUAGUCUGGGUGGAGCUGAAGGCCUCCUUCUGUGGGGCUCCUGUCUUCUUGAUGCCACCUCCGCUAAGCCCUCCUCUCCUCUGACAUUCCCUUUCCCCCCAAAAACCUCUGUUCUGACGGUGAGGUGUUUUAAGAUUUUCUUGCUUUGUGUUUUAAUUAUUGGUAGAAACAACUAGUUGUUUCUCAACUCAAGUGCAUACAGUACAAAAUGCAAAAGAUGCAUAAAGCAUUUUUCCCCUACCAUCGCAUUGUACUUAGAAUUUGACUACGUUGAAGAAAUACCCCAGGGCUUUAUCACAGAAGAGCAGUGCCCAAAAGACUGUGGUCUUCACCCUGGCUCAGGGGAGCGUGCCCAGUCCUUCUAAGCAAAGUUGUGUUUGUUAUCAUCAGGGACACUUCCUUCUUCACCUGAGGUUUCUCUCCCAGCCUAAACAUUCUCUGAUGUCAAUACCACUAAGUUAGUUGAAAAAGUGCAUUUUUUUUUUGUAUUGUGUAGUAUUUCUAACACAUGUUGCUGAGAUAUGUUACUGUCAUUCUAAGUCGACAAAACACUGAACCACCGUCAACUUGAUUUUUAAAGCCGACUUUUAGUUCAUAUGGAUUUUUCAAAAAUAAAAAUGUGCUUAUUUUCAUAUAGUCACAAAAGGUUUUUGCUCCCUCAAGUGAGGCCUAUAUUAAGAUGAGGAAGCUUGAGUGUAAAGAAGAUGGAUAGGAGUCAAUGGGGUGAGAUUAAAGAUGUGGGAAUGAGAGAGGAUGCCUUUAGAAGAUCUCUCAGGAGACAUGAUGGAAUCCGGGACACAUGUGAAAUGGUGAGGUUUUUCAUAACAGUAUCACGAUCUUAUCAGAUGCUAGGGAAGCAGAUAAGGAGGCCAAGAUUGAUGUGUUGGGACAGGGAAGGUAAUAGCUCAGCCUAGUAGAUUCACUCUCUUCACUGGAGUAUGGUUAAAGAAACACAAUUUUUUAUUGCAGACAUUUCCGAGCAAGCAGAAAAGUACAGAGGACAUAGUGUAAUGUACCUAUUACCCAUCUUCAGUAUCACCACAUAGCUAAUCUCAUCUCAGGUAUUCACCCCCUCCCAUUAAUUUAAAGCAAAUCUCACUGGCAUCUGAUCUCAGGUAGUUAGCUUUAAGUGACGAAUGUAAAAGACAAUUUGAGCAAUUGGUACUGAGGGAUGAUCCAGGAAGAUGAAAAGGAGAAAGCAAUAGGCUAAUCCCUUACUGGAAGUCAAUUUCCUUCAUCCUAAAAUUGGAGACAGGUGAUGUUAUCCAAUUGUUUUUAUUCCAACUUUUCUAGCUAUUGUUCUACAUUAGGUGACCUUGCAUUUGAAAACAAAACUAAAAAACCAUACUUGUCCCAUGUGGUAUAAACUUUCACAGUGGCUGGCAUGGGUAAUUAUUAUUGUCAAAGGAGGCCCACUGUCAAAUAUGAGUAAGGUCUUUAAGGCAUGUAUUUAUGUUUUUGAAGAUUCCUAUUUUUUCUUCCCAUUGCACUCACCUUUAUUCACAUAGAUGUAAGCUUCAUUCUAGAUUAGAUAACACCAAAUAAUUGACCUUUGGCACACAGCAAUUUGUGGAUGAUGAAAUGUGAAAAAGUGCCAAUCAUAAUUACACCUACGUGGAAAGGCAACUAUACUGGAUACCAAGCAAUUUUGCUUCAAUAAGACAUGUCCAAAAAGCAAAAACAAAAACAAAGGAAUAACAUAAUUGUACUUCCGGGAGGUAUUUUUCACACACGAUACCCCCUGCUGCUGCUUAUUUUAGUACUUAGUUAUUUAAUAGUUAUUUUGAAGGGAAAAAUCAACUCAUCGAAAAACUGCCUAUCCUACAAUGCACGGGAGAGCCCCACACAAAGAACUAUUCAACUCAAAAUGUCAACAGAGUGAAGGUUGAGAAACCUUGGUCUACAUGUAUUAGGAUUAACUCUAAAUAUUACAUGGGUGCCUUUCUUUAAACAUUUGUGACGGGCACCUGGGUGGCUCGGUUGGUUAAGCAGCUCAGGUCAUGAUCUCACGGUUUGUGGGUUCGAGCCCCACAUCGAUCGGGCUCUGUAAUGACAGAGCAUGGAACCUACUUUCGGAUUCUGUGUCUUCUCCCUCUGCCCCUCAUCCACUCACACUGUUUCUCAAAAA
Long non-coding RNA from Acinonyx jubatus (cheetah), 3432 nucleotides. RefSeq lists it as uncharacterized. The record is from RefSeq and is a predicted model, not a curated record. The transcript is spliced from 2 exons. Lineage: Eukaryota; Metazoa; Chordata; Mammalia; Carnivora; Felidae.